AGAAUCAACGCUGGCGGCGUGCCUAACACAUGCAAGUCGAACGAGAAAGUGGAGCAAUCCAUGAGUAAAGUGGCGCACGGGUGAGUAACACGUGACUAACCUACCCUUGAGUGGGGGAUAACCUAGGGAAACCUGGGCUAAUACCGCAUAAUACCUUCGGGUCAAAGGAGCAAUUCGCUUAAGGAGGGGGUCGCGGCCGAUUAGUUAGUUGGCGGGGUAAUGGCCCACCAAGACUGUGAUCGGUAUCCGGCCUGAGAGGGCGCACGGACACACUGGAACUGAAACACGGUCCAGACUCCUACGGGAGGCAGCAGUGGGGAAUUUGCGCAAUGGGGGAAACCCUGACGCAGCAACGCCGCGUGGAGGAUGAAGCCCCUUGGGGCGUAAACUCCUUUCGAUCGGGACGAUAAUGACGGUACCGGAAGAAGAAGCCCGGCUAACUCGCGCCAGCAGCCGC
RNAcentral lists this ribosomal RNA (457 nucleotides) under uncultured bacterium. RNAcentral describes it as "SSU rRNA". It matches the Rfam family "Bacterial small subunit ribosomal RNA", at positions 26 to 518 of the family's 1533-position model. The record is from RNAcentral.